RNAcentral lists this ribosomal RNA (253 nucleotides) under uncultured bacterium. RNAcentral's name for it is "partial 16S ribosomal RNA". It matches the Rfam family "Bacterial small subunit ribosomal RNA", at positions 524 to 776 of the family's 1533-position model. The record is from RNAcentral.
UACGUAGGGUGCGAGCGUUGUCCGGAAUUAUUGGGCGUAAAGAGCUCGUAGGCGGUUUGUCGCGUCGACUGUGAAAACCUGGGGCUUAACUCUGGGCCUGCAGUCGAUACGGGCAGACUAGAGGUAGGUAGGGGAGAAUGGAAUUCCCGGUGUAGCGGUGAAAUGCGCAGAUAUCGGGAGGAACACCGGUGGCGAAGGCGGUUCUCUGGGCCUUACCUGACGCUGAGGAGCGAAAGCGUGGGGAGCGAACAGG